RNAcentral lists this unclassified non-coding RNA (1655 nucleotides) under Polistes canadensis. Its description in RNAcentral is "kH domain-containing, RNA-binding, signal transduction-associated protein 3, transcript variant X1". Lineage: Eukaryota; Metazoa; Arthropoda; Insecta; Hymenoptera; Vespidae. The record is from RNAcentral.
AUGACAGAUAGGUCAAGUAAUGGAGAUUAUCAGCAUGAUCGAGAGGAAUCCCCAGAAAAUAAUUCUAAUUUGUCGAUGAAAAAAGACCGAGAAGAAAAGGAUCAUCAAGUUGAUAAGGCCGGGGAAUAUGUAAGAGAACUUUUGCAAGAAAAAGUCGAAUUGGAUUCGCAAAAAUGGCCCAAUGCAACUCGCUUGAUUGAUCAAGAAAUACAAAAAACUCAAGCUAUUGGAAAGCCAUUAAGAGAUCCAAAAUAUGUAGAUAUUUAUCGUGAGAAACCAAUACGCAUUUCUGUUAAAGUCUUGGUUCCUGUUCGUGAACAUCCAAAGUUUAAUUUUGUCGGAAAACUAUUGGGACCAAAGGGAAAUUCUAUGAAACGUUUACAAGAAGAAACACUGUGCAAGAUGGCAGUUUUAGGAAGAGGGUCAAUGAAAGAUCGACAGAAGGAAGAAGAAUGUCGUAUGUCCUUGGAUCCAAAAUAUGCUCAUCUGUCGGAUGACUUACAUGUAGAAAUAACAGCAUUAGCACCACCAGCUGAAGCAUAUGCUCGUAUAGCAUUUGCACUUGCAGAGGUUCGCAAGUAUUUAAUUCCAGAUAAUAACGACAAUAUACGGCAAGAACAAAUGCGAGAAAUGGAACUUAGCAUGGCCGAUGAUUCAACAGUCGCAGAAGAUAGAAGACCUUCUAUUAGAGGUGUUCCUCCUGCAGCAAGUGGUAUUCUUAGACCUACUUCCAGGCCAACGCUGCCAAGAUCAUCAAGAGUUUCAGCGCCUGUUCUUCCUCCACCCUCUAAUCGUGGACCCAUCUCUCGACCAAUGCCUGCAAAGACUAAAAUUUUUUCAAUAUUAGACCGUGCACGAGCUGCCAUGGAUCAGAGUUAUGGCUAUGAGACUCCAACUCCGCCUUUAAAUAAUCGCGUAGGAACACAUGAUUAUGAAUAUCAUCCAUCUUCGACAACAAAUACUCGAUAUGCAGAUCGUCAUUAUACGUCGACUGCAAGUGACGACAUGUAUCCUACUUCGAGAUAUACUACCUAUGAAUACGAAGAAGAACCUGUGCCACAUACAUCACAUGAUUAUUACGAAAUGCCAGAGUAUCCAGGUGUAUGAGAAAAUUCGAAAUUUCGCGUGGGAACGCGUUCUUCUCGAUUGAAAUAUUUUUGAUCCUCCUGUGAUUCACGGAGCUGUAGGGUGUCCCGAUGAAACAAACAUCGGUGAGAGCGAGUCAAAAAGGAGAACGAGCAAAUAACCUGACCGACAAAUAUAUACCAAGCAAGUUUCCGUUUGACAACUUCACUGUAAUGAACGCGCAUCAUCAUCACACAGCGAUGAAAGUUAUUUCCAACGGGUUCGAUAUAAUCAGAAGGAAUAUGCGUCCAUUAACGCACUAAGAACCUGAAAGAACAGUCAUUUUUUUUGGUCGAACGUUAUUAUAACACGAUUUUCGAUAUUAUAGAUUAAUACGGAUUAAACUAAAAUAUAUUUAAAUAUAUAAGGACGAUGGUGUAAUGACUUUAAUUAAGAACUGGGCGUCAUGGUUAUUACGAUUUACCUGAUAAUUAAAAGAUAACUCAAUGAAAUCGUAAGCCUGUAAUAUUCGAACUUUUAAUUCGAUUAAUUUCAUUCAUUGUUUUAUCAAUUAAAACGAAUAAUAUUAA